AAUAUUGGAUGGAUAACAUUUCUGAUUUGAGUGUGAAUGCGAUGAUGCUUGACUCCAAAGCAUCUGAACUUGACAAGGAAGAAAGACCUGAGAUACUUUCUCUGCUUCCACCCUAUGAAGGAAAAACAGUUUUGGAACUUGGAGCUGGUAUUGGCCGCUUCACUGGGGAAUUGGCACAGAAGGCCAGCCAAGUUGUGGCUCUGGACUUCAUUGAGAGUGCCAUAAAAAAGGUGACUGCGGUCCUCCAUAUUCACAAAGAGCUUUUUGUUUGUGCUUUGCUGAACUGGGCGUCUAAUGUUUUUUGCAAUAUUUCUGUUUGAGUUUUAUCUGAUUUUUUUUCCCAUCUGUCGAAUCUUCUGUUUGCAGAAUGAAAAUAUUAAUGGACACUAUAAGAAUGUCAAGUUUAUGUGCGCUGAUGUGAAAUCCCCAGAUCUGAAUUUUUCAGAGGGAUCGGUGGAUUUGAUAUUCUCAAAUUGGCUUCUCAUGUAUCUUUCCGACAAGGAGGUGAACAGACUUGAUCCUUAUUCCGGCUUGUCUUGCUUAAUUGUUGAUUUGCUUACAGAUUUGUUAGUAAUUCAUCUUAAGGCUUCUUGGAAUCAGUGGUCAGUGCUUUGAUGAUCUUAUUGGAGUCUGCCACAAACAUUUGAUGAAAGCUUGGUAUGAUUAUGACUGUUGUUGCAUCAAUCUUUAAGUGAAAUGCUCAUAAAUAUCAUGUGAUUUUUCCCUGGCCUUUUAUUUUCUCGAUGCCUUCAACUGUUUGUUUUAAAACAAUUAUGAGAAAUGCUUCCAAAUCUUCUUUUACAAGACGUUGCUCUUCUGGGACCAUAAAAAAGGUAACACUCCUUCACCCUUGUAAAUUAUGGAGAUAAUAGAAUGCAAAUAUCUUCUUAUUGACCUUUUGCAACGAAAAUGGUACUCCUAAUGCGGAUAAUCAUUACAUAUCGACAAUAAGAUCUGACCUCAUGGAUGUUUUCAUGUGUUUCGUCCAUGAAUUUUAUAAAGAAUAAGAUGGCAUCUCCACGCGCUACUGCGAGCUUAUAAAACAAAUAUAUUUGAUAGUAUUAUAAUUAUAAACUAGCGCUAAAUAAAUAAUAGAAACUAAAGAUAUGAUGGAGCAAAAUAUUUCAUGACGGAAAAAACAGUUGUGUUGGUGAUUAAAACUUAGAGACUGAACAAAAUAAUUUGUAACAAUCCACGGUGUUUUGGGAGGAAAUAUACAGUGUUUUCGCCACAUGAUUUAGCUUUUCUGUUAAUAAAAAAACAAAAAAAAAAUACAAAGCUAAAUACAAAGCUAAAUUCUCUACCAACUUAAUAUUAAAAAAAACCAACAAAAAUAAUUUUGAAAGGAAAAAAACCCAUGAGGAAAAACGUUGUAGCAAUUGACAAUGUUUUGUGAGAAAAACUACAGUGUUUUCCCCAAUAAAAUAAAAUAAAAAACCAUUUAGAGAAAUACUGUAGCAAUCCAUAAUAUUUUGUGAGAAAAGCUACAAUGUUUUCCCCAUAUGAUUUAGCUUUAUUGUAAUUAUAAUUCUUAACCAACUCGAUAUUAAAAAAAAAUGGACAAAGAUAAUUUUGGAAAAAAUCAUAAAAAAAUCAUAUGGAAAAACACUGCAACAAUUCAUAGUGUUUUAAAGAAAAAAAUUACAAAGUUAAAUUCUUAAUCAGCUCAAUAUUAAAAAAAUCAAAUCGACAGAGACAAUUUUAGAAAAACAAAUAACAAAAAAAACACCAAAAAAAGAGAAAAAAAUCAUGUUGGAAACACUGUAGCAAUUCACAAUGUUUUGUGAUGAAAACUACAGUGCUUUCCCAUAUGAUUUAUCCUUAUUUGUAAGGACUUGUAAUUGUAAUUCUCAACAAUGUUUUGUGAGGAAAGCUACAGUGCUUUCCCCACAUGAUUAAGGUCUAUUACAAAGUUAAAUUCUAACCAACUCAAUAUUAAAAAAAAAAUCGACGAAGAUAAUUUUGGAAAAAAAUAUUACAAAAAAAGAAAACACGAAAGAAACUGGAAAAAAACCAUGUGAGGAAAAACUUGUAUUUACUCGUAAUUACAAUUCUUAACCAGCUUAAUAUUUAAAAAAUAAAAUUGACAAAGACAACUUUAGGGAAAAACAUAACAAAACAGAAAAAAAAACCAUAUGGGAAAAAACACUGUAGCAAUCCACAGUAAUUUGCGAGGAAAGUUACAGUGCUUUCCUCACAUAUUGUAACUGUAAUUUUUAACCAACUCAAUAUUAAAAAAUAAAAUAAAAAAGAUAAUUUAGAAGAAAAUCAUAAAAAAACAAAAACAAAAACAAAACUAUGCGGAGAAACACUGUAGCAAUCAACAAUGUUUUAAAGAAAAAAAUUACAAAACUAAAUUCUCAAUCAGCUCAAUAUAAAAAAAAUCGACAAAUAUAAUUUUGAAAAAUAAAAAAAUAAAAUAGAAAAACUAUGUGGGAAAACACCGUAGCGAUCCACAGUAUUUUAAAGGAAAAAAAUUACAAAGCAAAAUUUUUAACCAACUCAAUAUUUAAAAAGUAAAAUCAACAAAGAUAAUUUUGAAAAAAAAUAAAAAAAUAAAUGAAAAAAAGGGGAAAAAAAAAAGGAAAGUUGGAAAAAAAAAAAGGAAAGUAAUUUUGGAAAAAAAAAAGAAAAAAGAAACAUAAAAAAAAUGAAAAAAAAAGAGAAAGUUGGAAAAAAAUGAAAAAUUGCAAAAACAAAUGUGAAAAAAAAAAAGAGGAAUGCACGGUGGAUUACUGUUGUAAUCCACAGUGCAUUUGGGUGUAGGGAAACAAUGAUUUCCCCACACCUUUUAGUUUUAUGUAUAAUAAACAUCUUUUAUGUAUUUUUUUUUCUUUCAAGAGAAGUAUUUUUUCUUAUAUAUGUUGUGAUAUAAUUCAUUCUAAUUCUCUAAAACUUUCCAUGUUUAUUUACAUUUUAUUCAAGCAUCUAAAAUUAAUCUAUGCAAUAUUUAUACUAAUGAAAUUUUCAAUUACGCUACGACAUUUCAAUCAAUAGUUCAAAUUAUAAUUCAAUUCUUUUAAAAAUCAUUCCCCCACAUACAAUACAUUAUUUCAAAAUAAUUUCACUCAAUUUCAUGCAAUUAUACAUCAUGAACCUAACUUUCCUCUUUGGCUGGUCACUUGGGUUUUUAAUAACCUUAUGUUUUUCUUCAUCAAUUCCACUAAAUUUAAUACCCAACACAAUAUAAUUUAACCAAAUUUGAUCAAUUCAUAGUCAAUUUGUAUUUUCCCCAAAAGGUUUCUAUAAACCCUAACCUAAAAUUCAUGAUUUCUACCUCAAAUAUUAUUCUAAUUGCAUGAAAUUGCUAAGGUAGAUCUAGAACUCCUUUCUAGAUGUUAUUCUGAAUCCUUUUUUUUUCCUUGUUGUCGUGAUUGUGCAACCCUUCGCCUUUGAUUAUUUUGCUUCUCUUUCCUUCAUAAUUAGGUGUUUAGAGGUGCGUGUAUGUGUUUCCUUUAAUUCCUCCCGAAAUCCCUUGAUUUUCUCUUGGUUUCUUUAAGAAUUUUGGUGAAAAAUUGAAAUUUUCCUCUUUCCUUUUUGUUUAUAGUUGUCGGGUUGAAGAUAAGAAAAUCCCCUCAUUUUAUACUCUUUUCUAGGGUAAUUUAUCAUUUUCCCCCUCCUUAAACAUAAUAUAAAUCCCCCUUUUUUUAUGUCAUACUGUUUUUUUUUGUCAUUUUCAAUUUCACUUUUGACAUAAUAAUUUAAUUUUCUAAAUUCUUAAUUUAACCUAAUUUUUAUUUUGGGUUUAAAUUUAUUUAUUGUUUUAAAUUUAGUCGGGAGUUUACAUUCUUCCCUCUUUUAAGAAAAAUUCAUCCUUGAAAUUUUAAAUUCCCAUACUUGUUUUCUCGAAUAAUUCUUUGUAUUUACUUUCAUUUCUAACGCUCUUUCCCAAGUGUCCUCGACUUGAGGACUCUUCCAUAUCACUUUCACCAUAGGAAUCUUCUUAUUCCUUAACUCUUUCUCACUUUGAUCUAGAAUCCUUAUAGGUUUUACAUCCAUAGUCAAGUCUUUUUUAACUUCCCACGAAACUUGCGGUAAUACUCUAGAGGGGUUUAUAUCAGCCUUUCGUAGCAACGAAACAUGAAAUAAAUCAUAUAUCUUAGCUAAAUAUGGAGGUAAGGCUAAUUUAUAUGCCACAUGUCCAAUUCUUUUCAUCACUUCAAAAGGUCCAAUAUAUCUUGGUUUUAGUUUUCCUUUUAGACUAAAUUGUAACGUAUGCUUCCAAGGAGCAACCCUUUAAAUACAUCAUAUCUCUAACAUUAAACUUGCUUCCAAGAAGCAGCCUUUUAAAUACAUCAUAUCUCUAACAUUAAACUUGCUUCCAAGGAGCAGCCUUUUAAAUACAUCAUAUCUCUAACAUUAAACUUAAAAGGUCUUCUUCUAAUAACUGCAUAAUUUUUCUGCUAGUCCUGGACAACCUUUAUCUCGUCACUUAUAUUUUUUUAUCUUUUCUAAAGUGAUUUAUACCAAUUCCAAUCUCAUCAACUUCUUAUCCCUAAUUUCUUCUCAGCAAACAGGGAUCCAACAUGUUAUACUAUAUAAAGCUUCGUAAGGAGUCAUCUUUAUGAUAGACUAGUAAUUUAGUUGUGUGCAUGGUUUUUUUCUUUGGAGAACUAAAAUAUUUUUUCUACAACUUUAAUGAAAAACACUAAACCCAUUUCUAGCAUAUAAACUUCUAAAAUCACAAUUACAACAACAUGUGGAAUAUGUCCUACUACUCUCGGUUUAGACCUUUCUUUGAUUUUUAUUCCAUAUAUAGAGGUUUAUAACUCCAAUUUAUGCAAGAUCCAUUUCAUUGAAAAAUUAACAUCCCUAGCUAUAACUUUAUUAAGAGAUAAAUUUUAAAUUUCAUCAUUUUCAUGUCUAAAAUUUCCCUAGAAAUCAAGGGACAAAGUUGUCACAUGUUUCAUCCAUGAAUCUUAUAAUCAAUAAAACAUCCUAUUUGUGUGUGUGUGUGUGUGUGUCUAUAUAUAUAUAUAUAUAUAUAUAUAUAUAUAUAUAUAUAUAUCAUUAAUUCCAAUUCCCUAAAACUCUUCAUGCUUAUUUAUAUUUUAUUCAAGCAUCUAAAAUCAAUCUAUGCAACAUUUAUAUUAACAAAAAAAUUUAUUACACUACGACAUUUCAAUCAAAAAUUCAAAUUAUCAUUCAAAUCUUUUGGAAAAUAUUUCCCCACAUAAAAUAUAUUAGUAUACAACAAUUUCACUCAAUUACAUGCAAUUAUACAUCAUGAACCUAACUUUUCUUUUUGGUCAGCCACUUGGGUUUUUCUUUAUCAUGAACCCAACAACUCAAUUACAUGCAAAAUAAAUUAUGUUUUUCUUCAUUAAUUCCACUAAAUUUAACAUCCAACAUAACCUAAUCUAACCAAACUUGAUCAAAUCAUAGUCAAUUUGUAUUUUCCCUAAAACUUUUCUAUAAACCCUAACCUAAAAUUCAUGAUUUCUAUCUCAAAUGUUAUUUGAAUUGAAUGAAAUUGCUAGAGUAAGUUUGGAACCCCUUCCGAGACAUUAUUCAAGUCUUUAAAUAUCAACCUAUCAAAAUUUUUCUAAAUUCUCUUUUUUUCCUUGCUACCGUGACUGUGCAACCCUUCUCCUUUGAUUAUUUUACUUAUCUUUCCUUCUUAAUUAGGUGUUUAGAGGUGUGUGUAUGUAUUUCCCUCAAUUCCUCCCUAAAUCCCUUGAUUUUCUCUUGGUUUCUUUAAGAAUUUUGGUGAAAAAAAUGAAAUUUUCCUCUCUUUCCCUUUUUGUUUACAGCUAUCGAGUUGAAGAAAAGAAAACUCACCCUCUUUUUAUGCUUUUUCUAGGUUAAUUUACCUUUUUACCCCUCCUUAAGCUUAAUAUGAACCCCCCCCUUUUAAUGUCAUAUUGGUUUUAUGUCUAUUUCAAUUUUACUUUUGACAUAAUAAUUUAAUUUUUCUAAAUCUUAAUUUAAUCCAUUUUUUAUUUACGGCUUAAAUUUAUUUAUUAUUUUAUUUUUAGCUGGGAGUUUACAAAUUUAAUCCAAUUAAUUCAUAAUUUAAGUAAUUUAGUCCAAUUAAAUUAGACAUUAAAUUUCAAUCCCAUAUCUUAUCUUUAGAGAGACGAGUGUGUAGAACUUAAUGAUAAAAUAGAAAAUCUUCCACUUAUAGGGGAUAUUGUUCAUUCUCAAUAACUCAUACAAUCAUUUAUCUUAUCUUGCAUCAGGAUCUUUUUAGUGAGGAAUACACGAGUGAGACUCAAAGGGAGAUCGAUUGUGAUAUCCACUCAUGUGGCUAGAACUUGUUGAUGAGUGCUCUUCAUUGUAGGAGCAGCUCCUUUGAAGGGUUGUAAUAUGAUUGUUCUCAUGCCUAUAUGUUUGCACGUCAUUCUAUAUUAUUCCUUUAAGGAACUAGAGUUAUAUAUACGCAUCCAGUGGUGCAUGCAAUGGUGUUAGGUUUUAUAUUUCUCUUUGAGGAAGUGGAAGGGUACAAAGUUGUUGUUUGUUGUUGUUGUUGUUGUAUAAUUAGAACAACAACAUUAAGUACUUUCACUUAAUAGGUAAUUUGUUGGAGAUUUAGAGGGGUUGUAGUACAUAUAGUAGAGAGAUUAGUUAUGUAAUACCAUAUAUUUUUUUAUCACUCAAUAUAACUCCCAACAUGUAUACGCAUGAAAAACAAGGUAAAUUAUUUUUUUUCUAUAUAUACCAUCAUUCAAUUUCGUCCAUAACAUAUAAAGGAUUAUCCUAUUUAUUUUAGUAGAAUCUUGGUAGAGUUUCCCUUGUUCGAGGCUCUACCUAAAAAAAAUUCAUUUAAAAAUAUAAAAUAAAUAUACUUUAAGGUCUAAUUCGUAUUAUUUAUAUAAGGAUUGAACAAGAAAAUUUAGAUUUUUAAUGAAAAAUCACAAACUGAUAAAUUUUACGCUAUCAUGUAUAACUUUCAAUUUGACUGUCAGAUCGGGCUGAGAUUUUGCAUAGAGUCUCCUGAUAUGUUAUACUACCUUAUGUUGGGAUUUUAGAUUUUAGAUCAAUUGAAGUUUGGAAAGACUUUGCAACUUAGGUUGGAAGCUGGGUAGUUUACGCGAAAAAUACAACGAACAUUAAAUAAAGGGAAAAUUGUGAAUAAAUAUAAAAUCAUCCUUUAAAGGCUAUUUCCAGCAGCGAUGGAUGUUUUUAGAGAGAGAAAGCUUCUCUCCUUCAUUUUUCUCAAAAUUUCCUUAGGAAAUUCAUUAAAAUGAAGGGAUUAAUUGAGAUAAUAGAAGAAAAGAGAAAAAUGAAGGGAUUUUUAGCUAGGGUUUGUGAGAAAAAGAGAGAGAAAGUUUUUCUUGGACAGAAAAAGAAGGAAAUCUUAGAGAAAAAUGAGAAAUAAUAGACUGACUUGGUUCAAAACCUUUGAUUUUUGUUUUGCUAAAAGAGGUAAAAAAAAAAAACCUUUUUUAAGGAUUAAUUAAAUUUUUAAAUAUGUUAUGUUGAAUUUGCUUUAUGUAAGUCAAGCUUUAAUGUGUUGGAUUGAUUAGAAAGAGGCUUUCGGUGUAGUAUUAUGUUCUUAGACAUGAAAAAAUAAUAGGUAAGGUGUGAAUUGUGAAAGAAAGUUUGAAAGGAAACUAUGACGUCACUUGGAACCGGGUUCGGCCUAAUAAUGAAAUAAUCGUGCUGUGAAAAGAACAAGUUAAUGAAUAUUGAGAAAUGCAAAGUAUGCAUUAGUUAUGAUACGAUAUAUUAGAAGACAAGAUUUAUAUGGGUGUUUAAUGUGAAAGGUUGAAACAUGAUGAUAAAAGGUGUAAUUGAAAUGGUAUAGACUUGGUAUGUUAGUGGAAGUGGAAAAAAACACUAAUUUAUAAAAUCAAAAUGUAUGUAUAUAUGAUGAAGUGAAAUUGUGUAUUUAUAAUAUGAACAUUGAAUUCCGGGAGUGAAAUAUCUCACUUAGUAGUCCAAAAUUGGGCUUUUUGAAUAGGUAAUAUUGUAUUUGGUAGUAAAAAUGAUCAUUUUGAAUGGAUAGUAUUAUAUUUGGUUGAACAAGUGACUAUAUAUAAAAGAAUGGAUAAUAAAAAUACAAUAUUAUGAUUUAUAUUUUGAUUUGAGAUAGAGGAAUUGUAUAAAUGUAAAUAUAAUAAGAUAUUGGGUAAAUUGUGAGGUAAGUAUGAAGGGUUUUAAGUUAGGAUAACCCAAAGAGAUAUGUAAGGUGUUAUGAUGAAUAUGAUUUUAGUUGAAGUGGAAUGAUGUGUUGGGUCUGUUACUAAGAAACAUGCGGAGAACUUGAUAUGUGAGGUUUAAGAGUAAUGCUUAAUUAGUCUAUCACUAAGUGGAGACUAACCGAUGGUUACCGACUACCGAUAUUAUUUGAUUAGUCUGUUAGGGUAUGGAGACUAAUGCCAUUAGUGGUUAUUGAUGAACGAUAUUAUUUGGUUAGUUUGUCAUAUUAUUGACACUAAUGACAUCAAUGGUAAGUAAUGACUCACAUUGUUUGAUUAGUCUAUUAUAGGUGGGCUAGGCCUUGAGGCUAACCCUUCGCUCUCUUUUUCUUUAUUUUUUUUACACUUCAAAGCUUUUUUACCAGAUUCACUUAUUGUUCAGUUUUAACAUAGUUUUCAAAAUAAUAUUAUAGAUUUUUAUUUAAAUCUUAAUAAUUUAAUUUUUAAUAAUUAUGUAUCUGAAUAUUACUAAUAAUAAAUUAUUUAUUAAAAUUCAAUUGAAAUAUGUGUUUUUUUUAAAAAAAAAUUAAAUGGAUUAUGAACAUAAUUUUAUCACACUUAUAACCUUCUUAUCUUUCAAAUAUGGACAUACUAUUUUGAUAUUUUUUGCUAACUUAUUUUAAAAUUUAUAAAAUAUUUUUUAAAACAAGAAAAAUAAUUCCAAUUAAAAAUAUAUUGUUUUCUAAGAUAAAUAAGAAAUACAUUAAUAGAAAAAUUAUCAUCAUGAAAAAAAAUUAAAAUGAUUUUAUUUCAAAGUUAAUGAAAUAUUUCAUGAGACACAUAUUUUUUUAAUUAUCAUCUCUAAUUUUUACUUAAUGAGAUGUUGAUGUCAUAUUAGUUCUACAAAACAACAAAUUUAUGAAAAAUAUUGAAAUUUGUUUUUUAUUUAUUCAAAGUAAUGGUCUCUGCAUAUUUUUCUAAGUUAUAUUUUUUAUAAAAAAAUACUGUUUUGGAAAAUGAAUUAAAUUCAAUAACAAUAUAUCCAAGUAUAAUUUUAAGAAAUAAAAGGAAAUAAAAUCAAAGUCCCGUGACCCCAAAUUUCAUGAGAAAAAGAUGAGUCAUAUACAUACAGUACAAAAAUGGCGGCAACGCACAGUAACAAAUCGUCGCCUUAUGUUGAAUCUUUAACAGCAGUAAUAUAGCGACAAAAGGAAACAGAAUAGAAAAAUAAUUGAUGGAAGGUGGGCCAUCGAAUUCACGUGGCAAGUGACCAUAGGCUCACGUGAAACCAUACCACUGCCAGAUUUGCUUCGAUCUCGAAGAAAAAAUAAUCCUAUUUUGGUAUAGAUUCUGAAGAAGUGGUCCUCAAUUUUUUAUGUUUAAAUUAUUUUUUUAUAUUUUUAAAUUAUUUUGAUAUGAUAAUUUCAGAAAUAAAUUUAAAAAAUAAAAAAAUAUUAUUUUAAUAUAUUUUUAAAUAAAAAAUAUUUUAAAAAAUAAUCUCUGUCGAAAUCAUAAAAAAUAAUUAUUAAUUAUCAAAUUAUUAACUUUUCAAAUUUAAAUUUUGAUGUGAAUAUUCAAAAAAAUUUAUUCUUUUAAAUAAAUAAAAUUAAGAUGUGAUUUCACAAUUAUGUAUAAAAUGAUUACAUAUUUUAUAAUCACAUAAAAGAUUUUUUUUAUUUUAUAUUUGAUAAUAACACAUCAUUAGAAAAGCAGAUAUAAAAAAACCGACAAAAAAAAAUGACUGUGGUAGGUGAGAUACUAAAAUAGUUAUAGUAGCGGUAUAAUACUGUAAUAAAGAAAUACCAAAAUAGUAUAGUAGCGGUAUAAUACGAUAAUAAAUAAAUAAAAAAUUAAACAUGCAGUUAACUCGGAAAAAAAAGGGGGCAAGGAGGAGGCAGCCACCUCUUCACCGUUUAUCUCUAUAAAAGCCCACACAUACCUAGGUAUCAGCACAUCCCAAACAGAGUAUCCUGAGCGAGAGAGAGAGAGUUUGAUUGCAGAGCAAAUAGGUGGUGAUGCAGCAGAAAGGCAGGGCUUGUAACCGUAGAUCCAGGAGCUUUUCAAGAUCUCGCAUUGCCGUUGAGGGUUGGUAGUUAGCGUUUUCAUCACCAUCAUCUCCUUUCAAAAUCUUUUCUUUUUGAGAGAGAUCCCCUUCCUUUUCUUCAUUAUCUCUCUGCCUUGUUCAACAAAGUUCCUUUCAACAAUGGCUGCUCAUGGUAAAAUGCCCUUCUUCUUUUUCUAAUGUUUUUUCAAGAAUCACUUCUUUUUAUUUUAUCCGAUUUCUUUGUUAGUCUUUCUGUCUUUGGAACUCCUUUUUUAGGAUAUUGUAGGUGUAUAUGUGCGUGCAUUGUGUUGAGAUUGGACUUAUAUUGGGUUUUUGUUUGUGGGUUUGAUAGUGGAAGAACGCGAGAUUCAAAAGAAGUAUUGGAUGGAUAACAUUUCUGAUUUGAGUGUGAAUGCGAUGAUGCUUGACUCCAAAGCAUCUGAACUUGACAAGGAAGAAAGACCUGAGAUACUUUCUCUGCUUCCACCAUAUGAAGGAAAAACAGUUUUGGAACUUGGAGCUGGUAUUGGCCGCUUCACUGGGGAAUUGGCACAGAAGGCCAGCCAAGUUGUGGCUCUGGACUUC
This 10713-nucleotide long non-coding RNA is filed under the name Populus trichocarpa (black cottonwood). Its description in RNAcentral is "long non-coding RNA (PTRI_LNC002879)". Lineage: Eukaryota; Viridiplantae; Streptophyta; Magnoliopsida; Malpighiales; Salicaceae. The record is from RNAcentral.